Molecule: ribosomal RNA, 460 nt
Filed under: uncultured bacterium
Lineage: Bacteria
Description: partial 16S ribosomal RNA
Rfam family: Bacterial small subunit ribosomal RNA
Source: RNAcentral
CCUACGGGUGGCAGCAGUGAGGAAUAUUGGUCAAUGGGCUCGAGCCUGAACCAGCCAAGUCGCGUGAGGGAAGACGGCCCUACGGGUUGUAAACCUCUUUUGCCGGGGAGCAACGGGCGCCACGUGUGGCGCCACUGCGAGUACCCGGAGAAAAAGCAUCGGCUAACUCCGUGCCAGCAGCCGCGGUAAUACGGGGGAUGUGAGCGUUAUCCGGAUUUAUUGGGUUUAAAGGGUGCGUAGGCGGAGCGUUAAGUCAGUGGUAAAAUUGAGGGGCUCCACCCCUUCCCGCCAUUGAAACUGGCGCUCUUGAGUGGAAGAGAAGUAUGCGGAAUGCGGGGUGUAGCGGUGAAAUGCAUAGAUAUCACGCAGAACCCCGAUGGCGAAGGCAGCAUGCCGGCUUCCUACUGACGCUGAAGCACGAAAGCGUGGGGAUCGAACAGGAUUAGAUACCCGAGUAGUC